GAUGAACGCUGGCGGCGUGCCUAAUACAUGCAAGUCGAGCGAACAGACGAGGAGCUUGCUCCUCUGAUGUUAGCGGCGGACGGGUGAGUAACACGUGGAUAACCUACCUAUAAGACUGGGAUAACUUCGGGAAACCGGAGCUAAUACCGGAUAACAUGUUGAACCGCAUGGUUCAACAGUGAAAGACAGUCUUGCUGUCACUUAUAGAUGGAUCCGCGCCGCAUUAGCUAGUUGGUAAGGUAACGGCUUACCAAGGCAACGAUGCGUAGCCGACCUGAGGGGGUGAUCGGCCACACUGGAACUGAGACACGGUCCAGACUCCUACGGGAGGCAGCAGUAGGGAAUCUUCCGCAAUGGGCGAAAGCCUGACGGAGCAACGCCGCGUGAGUGAAGAAGGUCUUCGGAUCGUAAAACUCUUUUAUUAGGGAAGAACAAAUGUGUAAGUAAAUAUGCACGUCUUGACGGUACCUAAUCAGAAAGCCACGGCUAACUACGUG
This 497-nucleotide ribosomal RNA is filed under the name uncultured bacterium. Its description in RNAcentral is "partial 16S ribosomal RNA". It matches the Rfam family "Bacterial small subunit ribosomal RNA", at positions 28 to 507 of the family's 1533-position model. The record is from RNAcentral.